RNAcentral lists this long non-coding RNA (416 nucleotides) under Equus caballus (horse). Its description in RNAcentral is "lncRNA (ENSECAG00000044795.1)". Lineage: Eukaryota; Metazoa; Chordata; Mammalia; Perissodactyla; Equidae. The record is from RNAcentral.
GGCGAGGCCUGAGCUGAGUGGUAAAUAACAAAUAAGAGUUACUAAGUGAAGACUUUGGGGAAGAGUUUUCUGGGCAGAGGGAACAGUAAAUGCAGAGGCUGGGGGCCAGAAGACGUGGUGUACUCCGGGAGUCCCAAGUUAUUCCACGGAGCUGCAGUUUCUUUCAGUGGGAAGCACCCAUGCAGGGGGAGGCUGAGAAUCAGGGAACAGGCGGCCCAGCUCCACGCUGACCUGCUGGAGGACCACAGGUCUCACUCAACCCCCUGGCUUGGGUCAGGUCUCCCUGGACUUCUCUGUGGAGUAGCACCCGUCACUGACGUAAUCUACAUUCAUCUGGGAGGUCAUGUUAUGGCUGCUAGCCCCCCCACAAGGACUAUGGGCUCCCUGGGGCAGGGACCAGGAGCUCGCUUCACUGA